AUUGUCCGAAGGUCAAACGCAACUUUUACACAAUUUUGAGUCCACACGAAAUCACAAUAUGAUGCAAUAUAAACGACGUUUUCUCGCUACUUCUGAAGAUAUUGUUGCAAUGAUAUUAUUUUCAUAGAUUAUAUCGUCUGUUUAAACAGAUCAUUUACAAAUAGAUGUGACACGACAAAGUGAUGGUGAUAUUUUGACGUUUGAGGAUAGAGUUGACUGCGUGUCGCUGAAUGCCCAGUGCUUACCGAAGAACAAACGAGAGAUUGGACGAAACAUAUGUGAGAGCUGUAAAUGUUUGUCGAGUUAUACAACGUAUGUUUCCAAUGAGAAACAGUGUAUAAAUAUAAACGGAAUUCCAGGUCUAAACUGUCAAACACUUCAGAAACAAGUUGCCAGUGUUGGACAAGUUAACGAACCUGACGAUCAGUGGACCAAUUCUAGCGUAUCGUUGUGAAAUCAAAGAAAAAGAAAGGAACCCAGAGGUAAAUUCAGGCAGUGGAGAUACUUGGUCUUGGAUACGAAUGACGGAUGUUGAUUUCUCUUUAAGGAGCUCCAGCAGAAAUCCUCCUCGUCUUAAAAAUUGGCAGGUAAAAUUCAAAGACAGUACCAUUUCUAAAAUGCUGUCAAAGUACGUUGGUAGAAUUGUGAAGUUACAAAUCAGUUGUAAAAUGCGAUGGAAACAAAGAUAUUACACAGAUUUAUGUAUGAUAUUCAAGAUAGCUGGCUCAUUCGUUGGAAAUUCAACCACUGCCAGACAUCCUAGUGACCGCCCCUAUUCCCAUAUUUCUUCGAACCCAACCACCAUCGAAACAACUAUAUCAUCUGAUUAUAGUACUAUAUCACCAGUCACAGUGAAGACAUCAGAUCGAUCAUCGGAGAAAAAUACGGUUGGAAAUCAGGAAGGCAGUGUUAGAGGAAAAAACAAUCAAUUAAUUUGGAUUCUAAUGCCAAUUGUUAUUGGCAUUGUAGUUAUAUUGAUCGCGGUGCUUUUCUAUAUAUGUUACAAAAGAAGGAAAACAAUACAAUCAAAUGCAGAAUACCCCAGACGAGACAUUAUGCAACACGAAUAUGAUGUACCUGUAAUUACAAAACCAACACACAAUGAAGGACACAGAAGCAAUCAGAACACGCGAGAAGAGCAUUUUAUGAAACGUUUUCAGAAAUGCCAUAUGCC
Molecule: non-coding RNA, 1174 nt
Organism: Paramuricea clavata
Lineage: Eukaryota; Metazoa; Cnidaria; Anthozoa; Malacalcyonacea; Plexauridae
Source: the annotation of a GenBank genome assembly